AGCUAGAGUUUGAUCCUGGCUCAGGACGAACGCUGGCGGCACGCUUAACACAUGCAAGUCGAACGGAGUUAUUCGGAGCUUGCUCUGGAUAACUUAGUGGCGGACGGGUGAGUAACACGUGAGCAACCUGCCUUUGAGAGCGGAAUAGCUUCUGGAAACGGAUGGUAAUACCGCAUAACAUUACCGGACCGCAUGAUCUGGUAAUCAAAGAUUUAUCGCUCAAAGAUGGGCUCGCGGCUGAUUAGAUAGUUGGUGGGGUAACGGCCUACCAAGUCGACGAUCAGUAGCCGGACUGAGAGGUUGAACGGCCACAUUGGGACUGAGACACGGCCCAGACUCCUACGGGAGGCAGCAGUGGGGAAUAUUGCACAAUGGGCGGAAGCCUGAUGCAGCGAUGCCGCGUGGAGGAAGAAGGUUUUCGGAUUGUAAACUCCUUUUAUCAGGGACGAUAAUGACGGUACCUGAAGAAAAGCUCCGGCUAACUACGUGCC
This 491-nucleotide ribosomal RNA is filed under the name uncultured organism. Its description in RNAcentral is "SSU rRNA". It matches the Rfam family "Bacterial small subunit ribosomal RNA", at positions 1 to 509 of the family's 1533-position model. The record is from RNAcentral.